RNAcentral lists this ribosomal RNA (441 nucleotides) under Streptococcus uberis. RNAcentral's name for it is "bacterial SSU rRNA". It matches the Rfam family "Bacterial small subunit ribosomal RNA", at positions 24 to 455 of the family's 1533-position model. The record is from RNAcentral. Lineage: Bacteria; Bacillati; Bacillota; Bacilli; Lactobacillales; Streptococcaceae.
UCAGGACGAACGCUGGCGGCGUGCCUAAUACAUGCAAGUAGAACGCUGAGGACUGGUGCUUGCACUGGUCUAAGGAGUUGCGAACGGGUGAGUAACGCGUAGGUAACCUACCUCAUAGCGGGGGAUAACUAUUGGAAACGAUAGCUAAUACCGCAUGACAAUAGGGUACACAUGUACCCUAUUUAAAAGGGGCAAAUGCUUCACUAUGAGAUGGACCUGCGUUGUAUUAGCUAGUUGGUAAGGUAACGGCUUACCAAGGCGACGAUACAUAGCCGACCUGAGAGGGUGAUCGGCCACACUGGGACUGAGACACGGCCCAGACUCCUACGGGAGGCAGCAGUAGGGAAUCUUCGGCAAUGGGGGGAACCCUGACCGAGCAACGCCGCGUGAGUGAAGAAGGUUUUCGGAUCGUAAAGCUCUGUUGUUAGAGAAGAACGGUAA